CAUUAUGGUCACCACCACCACCAUUAUGGUCACCACCAUCACCACCAUGAGGAGACCCAACCACCCCCACCAUGGCUACCAACAGCACCACCAGUAGUAACUGAAUAUGGUACUUUUCAACCACCUCCUCAACCAGUAAUCGGUUUUCCUCUGCCAGUUCCUCCACCUGGAUCAGUACUUGAACCUUCUGAAUACUAUGCUCGUGUCUAUCAGUCUGUUCCAGGUAACCCCUUUUGUUCUCAUCUCAGAAUUUAUUAAGGAUAGCUGGAUUGAUUAAUUUUCUUGAAAUGAUUCAAUUUAUUUGAUUCUGGGUGAAAAGUUUGCGGCUUUUUGCAAUAUUUAGUUGAAAAUCGGAGCUAGAUGUGGUCACCUUUCUGAUCUAACACCACAGGCGAUGGCCAGGGAUCAUCCUCUCAAUAGGACAGAAAAGAAAGAAGGAAUCUUCCUAGGAAGAACCUAGACGAUUUCUGGAAUCAUCCUUGACUUUGUUGUUCACAGUAGCAGCUUGCCAAGUGGGAGAAUGAGGACCGUCAGAUUGAGGGUAUGAAGGCUAUAACAUAGAGUUGGAGGCCUUAUUUCUGGGACAUCCAGAAAAUGCUAGUCAUCAUUAGCUCAUUGGCUUGCUUUCUGAUAGCUUUCUCUAGGCUAAGAAAUUCGAUGACUCAUCCUAGGGCUUUUCUUUUUGUUCCCCUUUGUAAUGCAAUCGAAAAGAGAUCAGAACCAAGUGAAAAAAGGUUUCAUAAGCAAACAUUAUUGUGGAAAUCAAGGGAGAGUGCCAUUUUAGAAAAGAUACAAUAGUUUCCGAUUCCCCCAAGCUUAGGGGUCAAUUACGGGGGGUAACCGGUCGAUCAACUCAUUUUUUGUGUCUUUUGCAACAUUAAGUUGAGUUAUGGUGAAAAGUUUGAGUUUUUCUGCAAUAUUAAGUUGAGUUAUGGUUAAAGUUUGUGUCUUUUGCAAAAUACAGUUGAAUUAUGUUGAAAAGUUUGUGCCUUUUCCAUCAUUCAGUUGAGUUAUGUCGAUAAUUUUGUGUCUUUUGUAUCAUUCAGUUGAAUUAUGUUGAAAAGUUUGUGUCUUUUUGCAACAUUCAGUAGAAUUGUGUUGAAAAGUUUAUUGUCUUUUGCAACAUCCAGUUAUAUUGUGUUGAAAAGUUUGUAUCUUUUCAACCACCUCCUCAACCAGUAAUCGAUUUUCCUCUGCCAGUUCCUCCACCUGGAGCAGUACUUGAACCUUCUGAAUACUAUGCUCAUGGCUAUCAGUCCGUUCCAGGUACCCCUUUUGCUCUCAUCUCAGAAUUCAUUCUGGAUUGAUUAAUUUUCUUGAAAUGAUUCAAUAAUUUGAUUUUGGGUGAAAAGUUUGUGUCUUUUUGCAAUAUUUAGUUGAAUUGUGUUGAAAAGUUUGUCUUUUUGCAAUAUUAAGUUGAGUUAUGGUGAGAAGUUUGUGUUUUAUGCAAUAUUAAGUUGAGUUAUGGUAAAAGUUUGUAUCUUUUGCAAUAUUCAGUUGAAUUAUGUUGAAAAGUUUGUGCCUUUUGCAUCAUUCAGUUGAGUUAUGUCGAUAAUUUUGUGUCUUUUGUAUCAUUCAGUUGAAUUAUGUUGAAAAGUUUGUGUCUUUUGCAACAGUCAGUAGAAUUUUGUUGAAAAGUUUAGUGUCUUUUGCAACAUCCAGUUAUAUUGUGUUGAAAAGUUUGUAUCUUUUCAACCACCUCCUCAACCAGUAAUCAGUUUUCCUCUGCCAGUUCCUCCACCUGGAGCAGUACUUGAACCUUCUGAAUACUAUGCUCGUGGCUAUCAGUCCGUUCCAGGUACCCCUUUUGUUCUCAUCUCAGAAUUCAUUCUGGAUUGAUUAAUUUUCUUGAAAUGAUUCAAUAAUUUGAUUUUGGGUGAAAAGUUUGUGUCUUUUUGCAAUAUUUAGUUGAAUUGUGUUGAAAAGUUUGUCUUUUGCAAUAUUAAGUUGAGUUAUGAUAAAAGUUUGUGUUUGCAAUAUUCAGUUGAAUUAUGUUGAAAAGUUUGUGC
RNAcentral lists this long non-coding RNA (2009 nucleotides) under Solanum tuberosum (potato). RNAcentral describes it as "long non-coding RNA (STUB_LNC007725)". Lineage: Eukaryota; Viridiplantae; Streptophyta; Magnoliopsida; Solanales; Solanaceae. The record is from RNAcentral.